This 637-nucleotide ribosomal RNA is filed under the name uncultured bacterium. RNAcentral's name for it is "bacterial SSU rRNA". It matches the Rfam family "Bacterial small subunit ribosomal RNA", at positions 87 to 745 of the family's 1533-position model. The record is from RNAcentral.
CUUGAUUAGUGGCGCACGGGUGAGUAAUGCAUAGAUAAUGUGCCCCUUAGUUCGGGAUAGCCACUGGAAACGGUGAUUAAUACCGGAUACUCCUUCUCGUUAUAAGACGAGUCGGGAAAGUUUUUCGCUAAGGGAUCAGUCUAUGUUCCAUCAGCUUGUUGGUGAGGUAAUGGCUCACCAAGGCUAUGACGGAUAUCUGGUUUGAGAGGAUGAUCAGACACACUGGAACUGAGACACGGUCCAGACUCCUACGGGAGGCAGCAGUGAGGAAUAUUGCACAAUGGAGGAAACUCUGAUGCAGCAACGCCGCGUGGAGGAUGACGCAUUUCGGUGUGCAAACUCCUUUUAUUAGGGAAGAUAAUGACGGUACCUAAUGAAUAAGCACCGGCUAACUCCGUGCCAGCAGCCACGGUAAUACGGAGGGUGCAAGCGUUACUCGGAAUCACUGGGCGUAAAGGGUGCGUAGGCUGGCUUUUAAGUCAGAUGUGAAAUCCAAUGGCUCAACCAUUGAACUGCAUUUGAAACUGAAAGCCUAGAGUUCAGAAGGGGCAGAUGGAAUUAGUGGCGUAGGGGUAAAAUCCGUAGAUAUCACUAGGAAUAUCAAAAGCGAAGGCGAUCUGCUGGGAUGAUACUGACG